GGACUUCGCCUUUAACCUUGAUUGCAGGAAGACUUCGUCCGGACUCCUGUGGGAGCCAGGCUCCGUCCUCGAUUCCAACGGCUGCAGACAGUCUUCGUCCGGACCUCUACGGUGGCCGGACUCCGACCACUGCCGAACUUCAGCCGACAGAUCUGCACUUCCAAGCCACAAUCACGGCCACGAUUCUGCUACAUUUCCUGCGGCGGAUUCCGCGCAGCUCCACCACUCCCUGACAGGCCGCAGUAACGAUCGCAGCACUGCUCCACUCCCUAUGACGGAUCCCACGCGGCUCCAUUACUAUCUGACCAGCCACGAUAAACGGCCACGAUCCUGCUCCACCUCCUGCAACGGAUACUGCGCGAUUCUCCCAUCCACUGGCAAGUCACGACGACAAACGCCACCCC
This 404-nucleotide long non-coding RNA is filed under the name Elaeis guineensis (African oil palm). Its description in RNAcentral is "long non-coding RNA (EGUI_LNC015932)". The record is from RNAcentral. Lineage: Eukaryota; Viridiplantae; Streptophyta; Magnoliopsida; Arecales; Arecaceae.